Molecule: long non-coding RNA, 1248 nt
Organism: Gallus gallus (chicken)
Lineage: Eukaryota; Metazoa; Chordata; Aves; Galliformes; Phasianidae
Source: Ensembl
UGCUUGCAUAGAAGCCUUAGGGCUCCUGUUACCUUGGAGCAUUGUAUUAUCAAUUACCCUAAUUAGAGUUCUGAACCUGCCUGGCACCAUGUAUUUUUCACUCAUUUUUAACUUUUUCUUGCCAGGCUCCACAGCCUACACUCAGAACCUUUCCUUCAAAGCAAAGCAAAAAAAGAAAGAAAGAAAAAGCAAGCAAGGUGAAUGCCAGUUUGAUUGGUGGCAGGCUGCAGACUCUGAAGGCUGUUCUCCAUCAGAGCCUGCACAGCGAGGACCUGUGUUUGCAUGGGAAGCACGAAGCACAAAGGAGGUGCUCAGGCCUCACCUCGCACAUUUAAUCACUCCUGUGAAUGGGUGUCAUUGAGGUCCUGGCAGCCCAGUCCCAGCAUGCUGCAUCCCCCCGAGGUACCAUUGCCGUGUGAGCUGCAAGCGGCACAGAGAGGCAGGUGGAUGGUGCUGAAGCCAGUGAAAAGCUCACAGAAACAGCAGCCUCUCCUGGGAAGAUACCUCCUCAUGGACGAGUGAUAAGCCUUUCCCCCAGAGUGCAGGAGCUAGGCUGCAGAGAACAAGGCACAGCACGCUCUCCUGGCUGCUCCAGCUUGUGGCAGCCCUCACUGAACCCACUGCGAUGGGAAUCGUUGUACAAGGUGCCCAUCCCUCACUUCAAGCCUGCGUUCCUCCUCCCCACCACUCCCGGCUUCCAUCAGCAUCCUACAGUGCUGUCCUUCCCUUUUGGCCUACUGGCAAGGAACAAGGAAGAAGGAACAAGUCCAUCCUGGCAUAUAACCACCGUGCAGAGCAGCUGCCAUCCCCAGCCCCAGCACCCUGCAGACAGACCUUCCUUGGAGCCGUGCAUGGUGUGUAUUUGGUUGCGGAGUUCCUCCUAGAAAUGCAUCGGUUUGGAGAUUCCUACAGCCACGUGGGACCUGAUUGGAUAAUGAAAAUCUCAUCUGCAGGAAUAAGGCAGAGAGACAGAGAUGAAACUGGAUUUGAAGAUGGUGUUUGGGCCAGUUCAAGAUUGCCACGACCUUCACCUUUUGCUUCUAAGAACAGAGACACUGGGAACCUGCAGGACCAGCAAGUCAGGAUAUUUAAGUUAUAAUCACCUUUGUUUUCUCGUUCAUGUGACAAAGGUUGUCUAACAACCCUGGCAUGAUAAGGGUAGGGAAGCAGAGCACUCUGGGCAGUGCAGCAGCACCAGGCAAUGUGAGAGAUGGAGGCACAGCUCCUGCACUUUGGGGGCUGGGAAGC